AUCAACUUUCGAUGGUAGGAUAGAGGCCUACCAUGGUGGUAACGGGUAACGGGGUGUUAGGGCACGACACCGGAGAGGGAGCCUGAGAAACGGCUACCACAUCCAAGGAUGGCAGCAGGCGCGCAAAUUACCCAAUCCCGACACGGGGAGGUAGUGACAAUAAAUAACAAUACGGGGUUCUUUCGGAUUUCGUAAUUGGAAUGAGUACAAUUUAAAUCUCUUAACGAGGAACAAUUGGAGGGCAAGUCUGGUGCCAGCAGCCGCGGUAAUUCCAGCUCCAAUAGCGUAUAUUAAAGUUGCUGCAGUUAAAAAGCUCGUAGUUGAAUUUCGGGACCAAUAUGUCGGUCGUGCCUCGGUACGUACUGGCAUCGUUGGUUUCUCCCUUCUGAAGAACCAUGAUGUCAUUUAUUUGGUGUCGUGGGGAACCAGGACUGUUACUUUGAAAAAAUUAGAGUGUUUAAAGCAGGCUCACGCUUGAAUACAUUAGCAUGGAAUAAUGAAAUAGGACGUUUGAUUCUAUUUUGUUGGUUUCUAGGAUCGACGUAAUGAUUAAUAGGGAUAGUUGGGGGCAUUAGUAUUCAAUUGUCAGAGGUGAAAUUCUUGGAUUUAUUGAAGACUAACUACUGCGAAAGCAUUUGCCAAGGAUGUUUUCAUUAAUCAAGAACGAAAGUUAGGGGAUCGAAGACGAUCAGAUACCGUCGUAGUCUUAACCAUAAACUAUGCCGACUAGGGAUCGGAUGAUGUUAAUUUUUUAAUGACUCAUUCGGCGCCUUACGGGAAACCAAAGUGUUUGGGUUC
Molecule: ribosomal RNA, 798 nt
Filed under: uncultured Glomus
Lineage: Eukaryota; Fungi; Glomeromycota; Glomeromycetes; Glomerales; Glomeraceae
Description: SSU rRNA
Rfam family: Eukaryotic small subunit ribosomal RNA
Source: RNAcentral